RNAcentral lists this long non-coding RNA (1363 nucleotides) under Olea europaea (common olive). RNAcentral's name for it is "long non-coding RNA (OEUR_LNC012448)". Lineage: Eukaryota; Viridiplantae; Streptophyta; Magnoliopsida; Lamiales; Oleaceae. The record is from RNAcentral.
AGUAUUUUUUUUUCUCAAGAACAAAAUUUUUAAUCUAGGAGCGAUGGUGGAGCGUAAGCUGCGAACAUUAUGAGUUUGAACAAUAAUAAGAAUGAGAUGGUUUGGCUGUCUUGGUUUGACAUUGAAAUCUGAGAUCUUGAGAGUCAAAUAAUUUAAAUUCAAUGAUUUAGCUUAUAAUUUUUUUUAGUAACUCGAAAGUUAGUCUUCAUUUCAUCUUGUUCAAUUGCAAGCAUGCCAGAUCACCAUGAAUUGGUAUCAAAUAGGUCUAUGGUCUUAAUUGCAUGUUUUGGUGCGACAACAGAAUGACUUGCAUUGGUUACUUCUUCUGUCCUAGGUUUAGUGUUCUUAAGUUCUACAUUUGCAAGUUGGUGACGUGGUUUUCAUGGCAUACUAGAACAAAAAAUUCACAUUUAUUUGGGAGCCAUCUUGUAUUUCUUUUCAUGUUGGCUUUUCCUUUUCAAUUCUUCCACUUUGCUCACUUGGCAUGGUAGGGUCGGGUUGGGUCUUUGGUUUAUGUUGACUAUUGCAAAACAGAUGUUUAAAUUUUAAUAAUAUCAGAAUGGUAUAGUUUGCGAACUUGUCAUGGUUCAUUUAUUAUAUACCAUUUGUGGUGUUUAGUUUUGCUUAUUAUACACUUUCCUGAUUUAUUUUUGUAUGUUGAAAAUAGUAGUCAAUCUCCUCUCAAACUGAAAAAUAAAAGUAAUUAUUUCAAGAGUUUUUGGCUGAAUAUUUCAGCCCUGAGAUGGAUUCUGUUUUUAAGAGCUUACACCAUUGUUUUGCAGGAUUUCUUGUUGCUUGAUUAUCCAGUCCUCAGAACUCAUACACAAAAAUUCAGGGGAAACCAUUACUUAAGUACUGAUUUAUUGUUAGCAAAGUUACAGACAGUUUGAAAUUGCAGCUUUGCACAACCUGCCAUGGUAUAGUUACAUUUUAUCUCCAAUGAAAAUUAAAAUCUUGGUAAAAAUUUUCUUUUGCACCUAACGGAUAAAGAAUCUUUAGAGCAUGAGCUGUAAUAAUUUUAAAGGAAGGCAUGUUUUGAAAGUAUUUAUAGACGGUUUAAAUAAUAAAUAGAAGGAAAUUAGCGAUGGAUAAGUGGGUAGUACUUGUGGGCUCCUCCAAAAUAUGUGGAUAAAGAGUGACUUGAGUGUUUAUAAAUAGUUUAUAAACAUGAGCCAUACAUAGGCUAAGAAUCAGAAGAAGUAUCGGAUAGUGAAUCUCAAUAAUUUAUCAUGUUUUGCUUUAUGGAAUAUAGUUGUUAGAUUAAUAUUGUAACAGUGAAAUAUGUGCCAAGUUCAGCACAUAUUUUCCUGUUAAACCUAGUUAACUACGAAUAUGAUCCUAGUUUUUUUUUUUUUUUUUUUUU